GAACCUUACCAGCCCUUGACAUGGGAGUCGCCGGGACCAGAGACGGUCCCUUCGGUUCGGCCGGACUCCGCACAGGGGCUGCAUGGCUGUCGUCAGCUCGUGUCGUAAGAUGUUGGGUUAAGUCCCGCAACGAGCGCAACCCUCGUCUCCAGUUGCCAUCAGGUUAAGCUGGGCACUUUGGAGAAACUGCCGGUGACAAGCCGGAGGAAGGUGGGGAUGACGUCAAGUCCUCAUGGCCCUUACGGGCUGGGCUACACACGUGCUACAAUGGCGGUGACAGUGGGAUGCGAAGGCGCGAGCCGGAGCCGAUCCCAAAAAGCCGUCCCAGUUCGGAUUGCACUCUGCAACUCGAGUGCAUGAAGGUGGAAUCGCUAGUAAUCGCGGAUCAGCAUGCCGCGGUGAAUACGUUCCCGGGCCUUGUCACACCGA
RNAcentral lists this ribosomal RNA (429 nucleotides) under uncultured soil bacterium. Its description in RNAcentral is "bacterial SSU rRNA". It matches the Rfam family "Bacterial small subunit ribosomal RNA", at positions 966 to 1393 of the family's 1533-position model. The record is from RNAcentral.